Molecule: ribosomal RNA, 659 nt
Filed under: uncultured Cladosporium
Lineage: Eukaryota; Fungi; Ascomycota; Dothideomycetes; Cladosporiales; Cladosporiaceae
Description: eukaryotic LSU rRNA
Rfam family: Eukaryotic large subunit ribosomal RNA
Source: RNAcentral
GGUUGACCUCGGAUCAGGUAGGGAUACCCGCUGAACUUAAGCAUAUCAAUAAGCGGAGGAAAAGAAACCAACAGGGAUUGCUCUAGUAACGGCGAGUGAAGCAGCAAUAGCUCAAAUUUGAAAUCUGGCGUCUUCGGCGUCCGAGUUGUAAUUUGUAGAGGAUGCUUCUGGGCAGCCACCGACCUAAGUUCCUUGGAACAGGACGUCAUAGAGGGUGAGAAUCCCGUAUGCGGUCGGAAAGGCACCCUACACGUAGCUCCUUCGACGAGUCGAGUUGUUUGGGAAUGCAGCUCUAAAUGGGAGGUAAAUUUCUUCUAAAGCUAAAUAUAGGCCAGAGACCGAUAGCGCACAAGUAGAGUGAUCGAAAGAUGAAAAGCACUUUGGAAAGAGAGUUAAAAAGCACGUGAAAUUGUUGAAAGGGAAGGGAUUGCAACCAGACUUGCUCGCGGUGUUCCGCCGGUCUUCUGACCGGUCUACUCGCCGCGUUGCAGGCCAGCAUCGUCUGGUGCCGCUGGAUAAGACUUGAGGAAUGUAGCUCCCUCGGGAGUGUUAUAGCCUCUUGUGAUGCAGCGAGCGCCGGGCGAGGUCCGCGCUUCGGCUAGGAUGCUGGCGUAAUGGUUGUAAUCCGCCCGUCUUGAAACACGGACCAAGGAGUCUAA